Molecule: long non-coding RNA, 576 nt
Organism: Strongylocentrotus purpuratus (purple sea urchin)
Lineage: Eukaryota; Metazoa; Echinodermata; Echinoidea; Camarodonta; Strongylocentrotidae
Exons: 3
Source: RefSeq, a predicted model, not a curated record
UAUCAUUAAGAGUUUGUUUCAAGAUAAUAGGUAAUGCACAAUAGAACUGUGAAGGUCGAUGAUACAUGGAAUUAAAUAAUGUAUCCGUUUCUACAAUUGUUGAAUGGUUGCAUUCUGUGAAAAUCAAAGAAUGAGACGACUUGGCCUUGGAAUGUGUUUCAUGAUUUACAAUACGGAAUUGGCAUUGCGCUAGCUUUCUCCGGUCAGUGUUGAAAGAAAAAGAAAACAAUGAUGUGGUCGCGGUUAUUCAUCCCCGCGAUAUCUUUAAGAUCUCCUAGAAAAUAGAUUGUUCAAUAAAGUCUUAAUCAUGGCAAGAUGUUAGACGUUUUGAGAGUAUAAAUAGAGGAAAUAUUCGUGACAGUUUCAUUCGAUUCCUGAUAUCCAACAAGAGCUGAUUUUGAGUUUUCUUUUUCGAGCUUCAUCGACUAACUACACAUCUUCCAAUAUGGCCACUUCGACUCAACUCACAGCUUUCAUCACCUUGGCCGUAAUGGCAAUAACCGGCGUCUACGGACAACUGACACCUCAAUCGCAGAUUACUCAGAUGAUUGGACAAACAUGCACCGUCUACAGGGA